GGAUGUACUUAGGUGAGGUUAGGUGAAAAUUUAUAAAUCAAGAAAUUAAAAUUGAUACUUGAAGCCGGUAGAGCAUUCGUUAAGGAUAAAAAUAAGCUAAAAAUAUUGAUAGGUCAUGGACAUAUUUUUUCGAGAUAUUUGAGAUUUAAAAUAUGGUGGGAAAAGGCUGACUCGGACUUUUACCUUAUGUUUGCAUUGGUAUUAUUUG
This 208-nucleotide long non-coding RNA is filed under the name Mytilus galloprovincialis (Mediterranean mussel). Lineage: Eukaryota; Metazoa; Mollusca; Bivalvia; Mytilida; Mytilidae. The record is from RNAcentral.